This 233-nucleotide ribosomal RNA is filed under the name uncultured bacterium. RNAcentral describes it as "partial 16S ribosomal RNA". It matches the Rfam family "Bacterial small subunit ribosomal RNA", at positions 99 to 334 of the family's 1533-position model. The record is from RNAcentral.
CGGACGGGUGAGGAAUGCAUCGGAAUCUGCCUUUUUGUUGGGGGAUAACGUAGGGAAACUUGCGCUAAUACCGCAUACGACCUACGGGUGAAAGCCGGGGACCUUCGGGCCUGGCGCAGAGAGAUGAGCCGAUGCCGGAUUAGCUAGUUGGCGGGGUAAAGGCCCACCAAGGCGACGAUCCGUAGCUGGUCUGAGAGGAUGAUCAGCCACACUGGGACUGAGACACGGCCCAG